Molecule: ribosomal RNA, 253 nt
Filed under: uncultured bacterium
Lineage: Bacteria
Description: partial 16S ribosomal RNA
Rfam family: Bacterial small subunit ribosomal RNA
Source: RNAcentral
UACGUAGGGUGCGAGCGUUAAUCGGAAUUACUGGGCGUAAAGCGUGCGCAGGCGGUUUUGUAAGCCAGACGUGAAAGCCCCGGGCUCAACCUGGGAAUGGCAUUUGGGACUGCAAGGCUGGAGUGUGGCAGAGGAGACUGGAAUUCCUGGUGUAGCAGUGAAAUGCGUAGAGAUCCGGAAGAACACCGGUGGCGAAGGCGGUUAGCUGGGCAGUUGCUGACACUGAGGCGCGACAGCGUGGGGAGCAAACAGG